RNAcentral lists this long non-coding RNA (291 nucleotides) under Nicotiana benthamiana. RNAcentral's name for it is "long non-coding RNA (NBEN_LNC012997)". The record is from RNAcentral. Lineage: Eukaryota; Viridiplantae; Streptophyta; Magnoliopsida; Solanales; Solanaceae.
CUGAAGAAAAAUAAUUGAUGAGCUGCAAAAUAUAGAUGCUGAUUCUGAAGUACGAAACCCAAAACAAAUUGUGAUUUUGAGCUUAGAAUCUCUCUUCACUACGCUGAUAAUUCUUCCCUUGCUUGUAUUGUAUGUACGCACUAGAAAAUGGCAGACAUCGGAAUUGGAAUAUGGGCGGUGGAAACACACCUGAUUUAAUCUGAAUAAAAAACAGAAUGAAAAAAUGUCAAAAAGUGAAGGGGAGGAAAAAAUGUGGGGUAUGAGUUUUUAGUGGGAAAGGGUAGAUAUAUA